RNAcentral lists this ribosomal RNA (465 nucleotides) under uncultured bacterium. RNAcentral describes it as "partial 16S ribosomal RNA". It matches the Rfam family "Bacterial small subunit ribosomal RNA", at positions 28 to 507 of the family's 1533-position model. The record is from RNAcentral.
GAUGAACGCUGGCGGCGUGCUUAACACAUGCGAGUCGAACGGAAAGGCUCCUGCUUGCAGGGGUACUCGAGUGGCGAACGGGUGAGUAACACGUGGGUGAUCUGCCCUGCACUUCGGGAUAAGCCUGGGAAACUGGGUCUAAUACCGGAUAGGACCACAUUUUGGAUGGUGUGGUGGAAAGUUUUUCGGUGUGGGAUGGGCUCGCGGCCUAUCAGCUUGUUGGUGGGGUAAUGGCCUACCAAGGCGUCGACGGGUAGCCGGCCUGAGAGGGUGUACGGCCACAUUGGGACUGAGAUACGGCCCAGACUCCUACGGGAGGCAGCAGUGGGGAAUAUUGCACAAUGGGCGCAAGCCUGAUGCAGCGACGCCGCGUGGGGGAUGACGGCCUUCGGGUUGUAAACUCCUUUCGCUAGGGACGAAGCGCAAGUGACGGUACCUGGAGAAGAAGCACCGGCUAACUACGUG